UACGGAGGGUGCGAGCGUUGUCCGGAAUCACUGGGCGUAAAGGGCGCGUAGGUGGCCUGAUGAGUCAACGGUGAAAGCUCGUCGCUCAACGACGAGUCGGCCGUCGAUACUGUCGGGCUGGAGCACUGUAGAGGCUCAUGGAAUUCCGGGUGUAGCGGUGGAAUGCGUAGAGAUCCGGAAGAACACCGGUGGCGAAGGCGGUGAGCUGGGCGAGUUGCUGGACACUGAGGCGCGACAGCGUGGGGGAGCAAACAGG
Molecule: ribosomal RNA, 256 nt
Filed under: uncultured bacterium
Lineage: Bacteria
Description: partial 16S ribosomal RNA
Rfam family: Bacterial small subunit ribosomal RNA
Source: RNAcentral